RNAcentral lists this unclassified non-coding RNA (3352 nucleotides) under Leishmania donovani. Its description in RNAcentral is "gene:LdHU3.06.0340(CDS-product:hypothetical_prote in_conserved)". The record is from RNAcentral. Lineage: Eukaryota; Euglenozoa; Kinetoplastea; Trypanosomatida; Trypanosomatidae.
CUGCUCCUCACGGCUUCCGGGCGGAGCCCAAUCGACACACGCCCACGCAUAGAGGGAGGCUGACGCAGUGACACCACCACAGAAGUGUGCGGCACACGCGUCCACCAGUGUCUGCGUCUGUGUGUGUGUGUGCACACGCACUAGGCCCCUCCCCCCGUUCAUAGACCUUCACUAGCGCUACGUACACACAGACACCCCUACAUCGAUACAGAGAAGGACCGAGUGAGUGAGCGGUGCAUCGACUACGGCUUUCAUCUCCCUUGGGUUACAUUCUUCGCCGAUUGUGCGCAGCUGCGCUGCCCUCCUCUCUGGCUUCUGCCACAGUCCCCGCCCGCCGAUGUGGGUCGUCCUCUUUCACGACACGCCGCACUUUUGGUUGGUGGGCGGGGAGUCCUACCGAGUCGGCAAGGCGAACUGCCACGUCGUCAUUCAGGAUGACCGCAGCAUCAGCCGCACCCACCUCACCAUCACCGUAGGCUUGCAGUCGUCCACGGCGGCCCGUGAUGCCAAGGAGUGGGCCCCACAGCCCAUUUCGCUGCUCGACUCAUCCACCUACGGCACCGCCAUCGUAGCAUGCGGAGAGGAUGCCGACGACGCCGAGACACUCGACGACACUCCACAUAACGGAGGUGAUAGCCGUGCCGGCGGUGCCGGGGCUGCGACGUCACCUGCUCCAGAGAUGGGUGUUCUCGGCUUUUGCUACGCCCCCGCCGCAGCCGCUGCAGCAGCGGCAGCCCGCAAGCGGCAGCGCUCCGGAUCGACCUCAGGCCGCGGGGCACCCCAGCCUGCCCUGCAUCUGACCAAGCAAGUCCCUUGCCAUGUGCCGGUGCAUCGCUCCUCCUGGCAUCAGUUCACCAUUUACCUAGGCCAUCAUGGCGCUGCGCUGAAGCUAGUGUGGCUAGACGUGUCGGCCCUGUGCGAGGAUGUCGACGCGGAGGUGCAGCCAAAGCUGUUGCACGCGCUGCACUGCUGCGGUGUGCGGCAGGAAACCGUCUCUGGCAGCACCCAAGCCUUGAGUGCGACCGAGACACAAGGCAGCGCUGUGGGACGCUCGCGCAUCGACGGCAGCGGCCUUUCCCUGAGCCAGCGGUCAGCGGUUGCAGGCACGCCUUCGGCGACUCCGUCUCCCACUGUCGUGACCGCUGCGGCUGCGGCUGCUGGCGAAGCAGCGCUCUCCUCACGCGUUUUACGCUGCUACAACACGGUGAGCUUUCUGGUGACGAGCACGGUGCAGCCCUCGACCGCGGUCGUCGCGAUGCUCUGCAGGGCUGUGCCUAUCGUCACCCCCGACUUCUUCAUGGCCGUUUGUGACCGCGCCUCGCCGCAGAUUCCGCUGCCCGAUCCGUCGCGCUACUUGCCGCCCCUGUCUUCGUGGUGGCGUGACUUCCUGACGCACGUGCGGCCGUCAGCCGGCGAAUCGCGCCCCUGUGAGGGCGACGCCUCGGUGACCGCGUCCACUCUCACACACCUCUCCACCACGGUGACAUCGGUGGCAGGCGAGUCAGCCGCUGCAGCUGCCGCGGCGUCGCACCUGCGCUACUUCGCCCCACACCCGCAGCGCCGAGAGCUGCUUAGCGGUAUCACCUUUGUCCUCCUCCAGUAUCCGCUGUACGAGGAGGUGCUGAGCUACCUCGACGGCACUGGCGCCCGUGUGGUGUGGGAAGAUGGCGGUAUUGGCGGCCUCUCAGCCCCGCUCUGCGCGUCCACCUCGUCCUCGCGAGCGGCGCUUGAGGCGCUACAGUCAUUUUUCGUGCGCCAUCAGCGGCAUGUCCUGCUCUUCAACGAAACAGAGCCGCUGCUGCCAUGGCCGGGGUGCGUGGAUGUUGUGCGGCACGGCCUGAGCCUCUGCAGUGUCGAGUACGGCACGCUGAUCGAGGCGAUUGUGACAAUGCGGCCCUUGCCGCUGCCCCCCUACCCGGCCGAUGUGCAGAUGCCGCAGACCUUCGAGGAGGUGGAGGCUCGCGUGGCGGCGGCGACGGCAUUGGUAUCCACCCCGCCCGCGGCCACGGCGCAGGAGGCGGCGGAGGAGCACACGCAAGACAGUGAUGAGGAGGGACGCCGGACUGAUGCGCAGCCGCUCUUCCCAGAGCUGGUGCAAGGCAGCGACGCCGGCGUGGGCCGUGGUGAUAUGCGCGACACUCGUGUCCAUCGAAGGCCACGCAAAGAGGACGUAGACGGGUGGGUGAGCUUCGAGCGGCCCGCCACCAUUGCACCCUUGCCCGCGGGGCUCUCAACGGACAACAAGCCCAACGGCAGUGCCGCUGUGCGCACAGUGGAGUUGCUUGUGGGGCCCUACUCCUUGCCUCCCUAUCCCUGCUUCGAGGACGCCAGCGCCGCCUCCGCUGAUGCGAGCGCGACUGCCGCUGCCGCCGUCGGGUUUGCACGCGGGGCGAAGCUCUUUGUGAAGCAGGCACUUCCUCCUCCUGAACCACUGGUGGAGCUUGAGGAGCACCGCCCUCGGCGUCAGCUGGCGGCCAGCAUGCUGACAGCUCGCGUGCCCACGGUGGACGCCGAGAAUGUCGUGCCAGAGCAGGUGGUGAUGGGCAACGGCGGGCUGGCGAGUCGCGUUGCGGAGACGACCAAUCCUGCCUUUAACAGCUUCGACACCGUUGCGCACCAUGCAUCUAGCAGGCGGAGGGGAACAACUGCACGACGGGGAGGACGCGGUGGCGGCGCUUCUGCUGCAGCAGCCAGGACACCUGCCAAUCGUCUUCCCCGCGGCGGCAUGGCACGCGCAGCGAGCCGUCGUCCAGCGGACAACAUCGUGCUUGUGGAAGACGAGGAGGACAUGACGGCAGGGUCUGUCGGAGCGACUGCCACGCGCGUUGGUCGUGGCGGGGACGUGUCUGCCUCGGCUGCAGACUCGGCCGCGUUUCACAUAUUCGACAUUGACGGGAUCUUCUGAGAGCGCCCGUGUCUGUCCCUCUUUGUGUGUGCGUGAGCGUAUCAUCGGCAACGGCGGCAAAACCAAAAAGAACUGUUGCCGCCUAUGCUCGCUGCGGGCCGUGACACUGCCAGCGGUGUAUAGAGGAGAGGGGAGGAGAGGAAAGGGGGGGGGAGGGAGGCGGCGGCUUCAUCACCUCCCUCCGCACGUGUUACGCAGUGAUCCACACAAGGAGGGAGGGGGCGAACGGAAAGAUUGAGGCGCCUGCCACCCCCUUCUCUGUGUGCCGUCUCCAUCUCUUCCUCUCUCUCGGUCUCUCCUCGGGUGUAUAUGCACACCUCUGCCUACUCCUUGUCCCCAUCAUUGGCCACGAUGACCUUCUCCUUUGACUCUUAUUCGGAUGCUUGCAUGACACCACCAUCGCUCAUCAACGCCUACCACACGCACUCACGCCCGUGCAUGCCCAAG